Molecule: ribosomal RNA, 567 nt
Filed under: uncultured Gammaproteobacteria bacterium
Lineage: Bacteria; Pseudomonadati; Pseudomonadota; Gammaproteobacteria
Description: bacterial SSU rRNA
Rfam family: Bacterial small subunit ribosomal RNA
Source: RNAcentral
CGCGAUAAGUAGACCGCCUGGGGAGUACGGCCGCAAGGUUAAAACUCAAAUGAAUUGACGGGGGCCCGCACAAGCGGUGGAGUAUGUGGUUUAAUUCGAAGCAACGCGAAGAACCUUACCUGGCCUUGACAUCCUGCGAAGUUUCUAGAGAUAGGAAUGUGCCUUCGGGAACGCAGAGACAGGUGCUGCAUGGUUGUCGUCAGCUCGUGUCGUGAGAUGUUGGGUUAAGUCCCGCAACGAGCGCAACCCUUGUCCUCAGUUACCAGCACGUUAUGGUGGGCACUCUGGGGAGACUGCCGGUGACAAACCGGAGGAAGGUGGGGACGACGUCAAGUCAUCAUGGCCCUUACGGCCAGGGCUACACACGUGCUACAAUGGUGCAUACAGACGGUUGCCAAGNUGUGAAGUGGAGCUAAUCUGAGAAAGUGCAUCGUAGUCCGGAUUGGAGUCUGCAACUCGACUCCAUGAAGUCGGAAUCGCUAGUAAUCGUGAAUCAGAAUGUCACGGUGAAUACGUUCCCGGGCCUUGUACACACCGCCCGUCACACCAUGGGAGUGGGUUGCUCCA